GAUGAGCGCUGGCGGCGUGCCUAAUACAUGCAAGUCGAGCGAACAGACGAGGAGCUUGCUCCUCUGACGUUAGCGGCGGACGGGUGAGUAACACGUGGAUAACCUACCUAUAAGACUGGGAUAACUUCGGGAAACCGGAGCUAAUACCGGAUAAUAUAUUGAACCGCAUGGUUCAAUAGUGAAAGACGGUUUUGCUGUCACUUAUAGAUGGAUCCGCGCCGCAUUAGCUAGUUGGUAAGGUAACGGCUUACCAAGGCAACGAUGCGUAGCCGACCUGAGAGGGUGAUCGGCCGCACUGGAACUGAGACACGGUCCAGACUCCUACGGGAGGCAGCAGUAGGGAAUCUUCCGCAAUGGGCGAAAGCCUGACGGAGCAACGCCGCGUGAGUGAUGAAGGUCUUCGGAUCGUAAAACUCUGUUAUUAGGGAAGAACAAAUGUGUAAGUAACUAUGCACGUCUUGACGGUACCUAAUCAGAAAGCCACGGCUAACUACGUG
This 497-nucleotide ribosomal RNA is filed under the name uncultured bacterium. Its description in RNAcentral is "partial 16S ribosomal RNA". It matches the Rfam family "Bacterial small subunit ribosomal RNA", at positions 28 to 507 of the family's 1533-position model. The record is from RNAcentral.